UUUGUUCAGCUUGAUUUACUGUUUAAAGGCAUUAUCUAUUGGUUGUACCAGUGGGUAUGAGAUUGAAUUUAGGGAACAGGGUUGACACAGCAGGUCCUAGUCCUGCAUAUUUUUUCUUAAAUAUUUCCCAAUUGUGUUUUUCAUUAUUUCUUUUCAAUAUAUAACUUUUAUAACAAAUUAUUAGCUUUGAUCUUGUAGUUUAAAAUUGCAGGGAACUGGGGUAAUCUUUUACUGAGCUGGAUCUUAGAGAAAAUGAAUAUUUAAAAUUUUAAAGUUUGCACAUUUCAUCUUUGUCCUAACACGAGUGCUUGUAAACAAAAAAAAAAGAGAGAAAAGCCAAAAACUACCUUUGUCCACCAUACAUGAAAUGAUCGAUGAGGCAUAUGAAAUUUCGUGUAACGCUUCCCUUCCCUCCCCAGAUGUCAUCUGACUGCCUAUUAUUAUCUGGUGUCACCUAUUCCAUUGCAACUUAAUACUGAAAGGAAAAGAAAGCACUUACGUUUCACAGAAGCCGUUAUGUUUGUAGUAAUGGGUCAUUGCGUAUUGAUGAGCUCCACCCCUGUACACAGAAUGAAGAAUAAUGCAUGUUGAUUUCUUGUAUUAAAGAUGCCGUGAUUUGUAAAAAGUCUGUAUUUUGCGGAAUGUCUGGAUUAAGAAGCAUUACCAAUAGGAAUGGAUCGAUAGUUGAUUAAUUAAUGAUUUUUUUAUAUAUAGAUAUAUAAAUUGCAUCAAUGGUCAGAAACCUUUUUUUUUAAUAGAUGUAAAAUGUAAAUUUUUCUUUCAAAAUGUCUCUCAAGUUUUUUGUUUGUUUUUUUUUUUCUUCCCAAGGCUGAUUGAUCUUAGACCAAGUCAAGUUCCCAUUUUCCAUCUAGCUAUUUUUUGAGAAGAGGAAUAAUUUGUAAAUAUUUAUUUAGAUCAUUGAUAUUUAUUAAAAGCAAUCACACCCACGGAAGUGAAAGAAUCGGGAGAAAAGCCUUUUAAAAAGUUUUCUCUGGGUUUGGUCAGGGUCACUCUAAAGAUGAAAAUGUCACAAAGUCUUCUGUGAAAUAUCAUUAAAUCCUGUUCUUUUUUGCAUACACAGUGGUGACACAACCAAAUAAACUCCUGCCAACUAAUCCACACUAUUUUUUGGAGCGUCCCAGUAGCCCCAGGGAAACCAAUGCAGCAGGAGUUACACAGCAACACUUGUAAGGAUAAAGGUGCCUGGGUAAUCGGUGUGUGUUGCCACUGGGUUGUGAUGCCAGUGAAGUAGAUCGCAACCGAGGAAUAUAAGCCCUGUUUGAUUUUUUUUAAAUUUCUAGAACUUCGAUCCACCCCUAUGAAAGCAAGUUAUUGUGGAAAUAUUUUUGGUGUAAAAUCAUUCCAGAGUAUGUAAUAUUUAACUGAUAGCUGCAUGAAAGUAAGAUUCGUGUUACUUUGGCUUUUUUGUCUCUGUUGACACGGUUGCACAUUUCCAAGUUACUACAGCGUGAAAACUGUGUGUUUAAAAAAAAAAAAGAAAACAACAAAAAAAAAUAAGAGAUUGUGGCCUGGUUUUGUAUAAGUUUUAGGUAAAAUUACAAUUGAUUGUUUUAGGAAUCAUUAUUAAAAAUUAAUUUUCUGCAAAUCAUAAAGCUAUAUUAAGGUGUUGAGCUUAGCCACUCUGCACAUUGUAAUUAUUCAUUGUGGCUGUCCAGUUCUAUGAUGCAUUCUGGCAUUUUGUAAGCUGCUCUGACUAGCAAUAUAUAGAGUCAUUUAAUGUGUUAACAUUGGUUAAUAAAUGUAUUUAAAAAACCACUGGCUUUUUGAAAGUGUCGAGUUUGAAGAGAGGUUAAUUAGGUAGUCUGCUGCCAGCCCCAGCUUCAUGUUCAUUGUGGGAUUUUGAGUUAUUUGUAUCCAAGGCCUCUAGCCACUUUGUCAGAAACCAUUUUUCUGAACUAAGGGUAACUUCUUAUAAAGGAAUUCUUCGGGAAGUGACUGAAGAGGCUGGGGUUAUACAAGGGGAGUCCUCACUGCCUUCCAGUUUGAGAAUCUAAACCUCCAGGUAUGCCGUCCCACCCUGAGAAUGAGCAUGCCCCUGCUCGGUUGAUGAAGCUGAAAAUCUAAGAACAUUAGCCUGGGUUAAGGAGUGGGGGAAAGAGAGAAGCAGCCAAGAAGCAAAGCCUCCAUCUGUGUGUUUUGUGCUGGCUAGCGUGGGCUUUUUUUUAACCUUCCACUUGAACCUUGAGGGAUGAGUUUAACCCACAGCAGCUUUGGUUCCUGUCAGGUGAGUAGAAAUGGGGUCUGAACUAUUGAUUGGGCUAAGCACAUCUCUCACUGUUGCCUAAAUUUGCUCACUUUGGUGAGGAAGCAUUUUUGCAGGCUUCAGUUUGUUCAUCUGUGUAUCUUUUCAGAUGCACCCCUUCAGACGCGGGAGUGAAGUCCUGGACAGCCGCCGAAGGAUCAUCGGGCUUCAGUCUUGGCAGUCUGCGGUUGUGUUACCCAGGCCCACGCUUUGUUUGCUGUGAGAGAGAGUUCUGAAACAUACAGUGCAUUCGGCAUUUCAUUGGUCGUUCUUCAUAUUCAAAGAAGAUACCACUGAUGGUGAGAUUCACCCAGGAGCGUACGUGUGGCCGACAAGACCGAUGUGAAAUCCGAAGUUCCUGUCACACUGAGCACAUUAAAAAGGUCUUCAGUUUGACAACUUCAGUGGUGAGAGAAGACGAUCAAAAAUCGGAGCUGUCGAUUGCAGACCCUAGGGUAUGUUUAAGCACCCUGAUUUUCUUUUCCCCUAAUUCCCACCUCCCAACUUUUUAGAUUAGUAUGAAGCUAUUACUUUGCACCACUCUGCAUCCAAGGAUUUGAUCUAUUCAUAUCCUUAUAUAAGAGAUGGAAUAAAAGUUUUCCGAGUCAAUCA
Long non-coding RNA from Ornithorhynchus anatinus (platypus), 2875 nucleotides. RefSeq lists it as uncharacterized. Lineage: Eukaryota; Metazoa; Chordata; Mammalia; Monotremata; Ornithorhynchidae. The transcript has 3 exons. The record is from RefSeq and is a predicted model, not a curated record.